ACUGAGGUGGGGUAGCGGUAACCUGUACGCUUCCCAAGCAUGUGCGCCGGGUUCAAUUCCUGGUCUUAGUA
Molecule: transfer RNA, 71 nt
Organism: Sphaerobolus stellatus SS14
Lineage: Eukaryota; Fungi; Basidiomycota; Agaricomycetes; Geastrales; Sphaerobolaceae
Rfam family: tRNA
About the family: Transfer RNA (tRNA) molecules are approximately 80 nucleotides in length. Their secondary structure includes four short double-helical elements and three loops (D, anti-codon, and T loops). Further hydrogen bonds mediate the characteristic L-shaped molecular structure. tRNAs have two regions of fundamental functional importance: the anti-codon, which is responsible for specific mRNA codon recognition, and the 3' end, to which the tRNAs corresponding amino acid is attached (by aminoacyl-tRNA synthetases). tRNAs cope with the degeneracy of the genetic code in two manners: having more than one tRNA (with a specific anti-codon) for a particular amino acid; and 'wobble' base-pairing, i.e. permitting non-standard base-pairing at the 3rd anti-codon position.
Source: Rfam